RNAcentral lists this ribosomal RNA (1706 nucleotides) under Salmonella enterica subsp. enterica serovar Weltevreden. RNAcentral's name for it is "partial 23S ribosomal RNA". It matches the Rfam family "Bacterial large subunit ribosomal RNA", at positions 1 to 2169 of the family's 2925-position model. Lineage: Bacteria; Pseudomonadati; Pseudomonadota; Gammaproteobacteria; Enterobacterales; Enterobacteriaceae. The record is from RNAcentral.
CCACCACCAAAGCAUUCUCUGGUGUUGAAGGCCCUGCAAAGCAGCAUCGCGGUGGCGGAGCGUCGUUUGCGACGCCCAACACACAAAACAAGCGGUGAGUGCUUUGGGGUGGGGUGACUGCGUACCUUUUGUAUAAUGGGUCAGCGACUUAUAUUCUGUAGCAAGGUUAACCGUAUAGGGGAGCCGGAGGGAAACCGAGUCUUAACCGGGCGUUAAGUUGCAGGGUAUAGACCCGAAACCCGGUGAUCUAGCCAUGGGCAGGUUGAAGGUUGGGUAACACUAACUGGAGGACCGAACCGACUAAUGUUGAAAAAUUAGCGGAUGACCUGUGGCUGGGGGUGAAAGGCCAAUCAAACCGGGAGAUAGCUGGUUCUCCCCGAAAGCUAUUUAGGUAGCGCCUCGUGAAUUCAUCUCCGGGGGUAGAGCACUGUUUCGGCUAGGGGGCCAUCCCGGCUUACCAACCCGAUGCAAACUGCGAAUACCGGAGAAUGUUAUCACGGGAGACACACGGCGGGUGCUAACGUCCGUCGUGAAGAGGGAAACAACCCAGACCGCCAGCUAAGGUCCCAAAGUCAUGGUUAAGUGGGAAACGAUGUGGGAAGGCCCAGACAGCCAGGAUGUUGGCUUAGAAGCAGCCAUCAUUUAAAGAAAGCGUAAUAGCUCACUGGUCGAGUCGGCCUGCGCGGAAGAUGUAACGGGGCUAAACCAUGCACCGAAGCUGCGGCAGCGACGCUUAUGCGUUGUUGGGUAGGGGAGCGUUCUGUAAGCCUGUGAAGGUGGCCUGUGAGGGUUGCUGGAGGUAUCAGAAGUGCGAAUGCUGACAUAAGUAACGAUAAAGCGGGUGAAAAGCCCGCUCGCCGGAAGACCAAGGGUUCCUGUCCAACGUUAAUCGGGGCAGGGUGAGUCGACCCCUAAGGCGAGGCCGAAAGGCGUAGUCGAUGGGAAACGGGUUAAUAUUCCCGUACUUGGUGUUACUGCGAAGGGGGGACGGAGAAGGCUAUGUUGGCCGGGCGACGGUUGUCCCGGUUUAAGCGUGUAGGUGUGUGUUCCAGGUAAAUCCGGUUCACUUUAACACUGAGGCGUGAUGACGAGGCACUACGGUGCUGAAGCAACAAAUGCCCUGCUUCCAGGAAAAGCCUCUAAGCAUCAGGUAACAUCAAAUCGUACCCCAAACCGACACAGGUGGUCAGGUAGAGAAUACCAAGGCGCUUGAGAGAACUCGGGUGAAGGAACUAGGCAAAAUGGUGCCGUAACUUCGGGAGAAGGCACGCUGACACGUAGGUGAAGUGAUUUACUCAUGGAGCUGAAGUCAGUCGAAGAUACCAGCUGGCUGCAACUGUUUAUUAAAAACACAGCACUGUGCAAACACGAAAGUGGACGUAUACGGUGUGACGCCUGCCCGGUGCCGGAAGGUUAAUUGAUGGGGUCAGCGCAAGCGAAGCUCCUGAUCGAAGCCCCGGUAAACGGCGGCCGUAACUAUAACGGUCCUAAGGUAGCGAAAUUCCUUGUCGGGUAAGUUCCGACCUGCACGAAUGGCGUAAUGAUGGCCAGGCUGUCUCCACCCGAGACUCAGUGAAAUUGAACUCGCUGUGAAGAUGCAGUGUACCCGCGGCAAGACGGAAAGACCCCGUGAACCUUUACUAUAGCUUGACACUGAACAUUGAGCCUUGAUGUGUAGGAUAGGUGGGAGGCUUUGAAGCGUGGAC